CGGCUGCUGAGCGGAUGGAGACACGGGGAGUCCAGCUGCUCCCGCAGGCGCUCCCCCCUCGCGCUAUCAAUUAUUCAAUUCUUGCCUUGACAUGAAGAACAACUGAUCAACAUCUGAACACAUUUGAAGCCUAUCAUCAGUCUAGGGAUAGAUCAAGAAAAUGUUACAAUGACUCUCUCAAGGCUAACCACCACAUUUACAAUGAUCCAAACAUGUGGAAUCUCUUGGCCAUGACAAAAUCAGGUGGUGCCAACUCUGCCAUGUCAUCGCAGACUGAAAGAUUUUGAGAGCUCAAGGACUCCUGCAAUCAAGGAGAGCUAUGUGAGGUGUAAAGCUAAAAACAAUUCAUAUUCAUCUACAAUUGCCUUCACCGGUUGUAAUUGCAGACAGGGCUGCAGGUCAGAAAUUGGUUUCUGAUCUCAUCUCAGGACCCACAUAAGUGACUGUAGCUCUUCCACUAAACUCAAUAGGAGAUUCAAUCUUGUACUUGUAAAUAUAGAUGUAUAUACCUAACUUUAAGCAUCCAAGUCUGAAAAUAAUAUCCAUACAGAAUAUAUCCUAUGAACAAUAUGAUAUCUUGUAUUAAUCAUAACUUGU
Long non-coding RNA from Pelodiscus sinensis (Chinese soft-shelled turtle), 597 nucleotides. RefSeq lists it as uncharacterized. The record is from RefSeq and is a predicted model, not a curated record. Lineage: Eukaryota; Metazoa; Chordata; Testudines; Trionychidae.